GGCUCCACACUUGUUCUUAUCCCGUUUCUUCUCCCCUUUCUCAUUCAUACUCAAAGCAAAAUCCCCUUUUCUCUUCAUCUGGUUGAGAGCAUCCGCCCCGUGCUGCCUCCCUGCCACCUCCAACCCCGCCGGGAGAGGAGCUCCUCUGCCCCGAGCCUCCUCCAGCAGGACAGCCAGUUACCCGGAGUCAAACAACAACCGCAGCCACCCUGCCUUGGAGCUCGCCGCCUCCUACCACCUCUCCGUCGGACUCGUUCUUCUCCGCCUCAAAUCCGUCUGCCGCCACCGGAUCCACGCCAGAGCAGCCGGAUCCGCCGCCUCCUGACCCGCCUGCCGUUGGGAGCAGGACGACCGAGAGGUUCACCCGUUCGUUUGUCACGUGGGCCACGCAGCUGCCUCGGCCCAGCUUGCCCGCGAAGUCGUCGCCGUCCAUCUCCUCCCCCUCUCUGCUCCUCUCUAUUUUCCCUUUUUUGUUUCCUUCCUUGCUGUUUGUCAGCUCCCGAGUUGGGCAUAUCACGCAUGCCGCUUAUUUUGGAUCUUCCUUUAUUUCUCAUGGCCAAAGAUGACCCAUAUAUCUCAUCCUCUUUUGGUUGAUGUCCUGACUUAGGCAGGUGCGCCGGCAGGGAUGGCGGUAGCGGCACGCAGCGACGUUGGGGUGGUCCGGCGGCGCGCAGUGAGGCAGGCCGGGCGUGGCAGGAGGUGGGGACGCGCUGGAGGUGAAGAUCGAGCCGGGGCGUGCGGGUGGCUGGGUUAUGUUUUUUCUUUUCUUUCUUUUCUCUCCCAGUACGCGUUCAGGUUGAAUUAUCACAAGGAUUGCGGGUUGAAUAUCCAAAAUCAUAGGGGCUUUUUUGCAAAAA
Long non-coding RNA from Triticum dicoccoides, 857 nucleotides. RefSeq lists it as uncharacterized. The record is from RefSeq and is a predicted model, not a curated record. The transcript is spliced from 2 exons. Lineage: Eukaryota; Viridiplantae; Streptophyta; Magnoliopsida; Poales; Poaceae.